Molecule: ribosomal RNA, 591 nt
Filed under: uncultured cyanobacterium
Lineage: Bacteria; Bacillati; Cyanobacteriota
Description: bacterial SSU rRNA
Rfam family: Bacterial small subunit ribosomal RNA
Source: RNAcentral
CGUGAGAAUCUGCCAAAAGGACUGGGACAACCACUGGAAACGGUGGCUAAUACCAGAUGUGCCGCAACGUAAAAGAGGAAACUCGCCUUUUGAGGAGCUCGCGUCUGAUUAGCUAGUUGGUGAGGUAAAAGCUCACCAAGGCAACGAUCAGUAGCUGGUCUGAGAGGACGACCAGCCACACUGGGACUGAGACACGGCCCAGACUCCUACGGGAGGCAGCAGUGGGGAAUUUUCCGCAAUGGGCGAAAGCCUGACGGAGCAAGACCGCGUGAGGGAGGAAGGCUCUUGGGUCGUAAACCUCUUUUGUCAGGGAAGAACACAAUGACGGUACCUGACGAAUCAGCAUCGGCUAACUCCGUGCCAGCAGCCGCGGUAAUACGGAGGAUGCAAGCGUUAUCCGGAAUUAUUGGGCGUAAAGCGUCCGUAGAUGGUUUUGCCAGUCGGCUGUCAAAGCGCAGGGCUUAACCCUGUAAAGGCAGUGGAAACUACAAGACUAGAGUGCAGUAGGGGCAGAGGGAAUUCCCAGUGUAGCGGUGAAAUGCGUAGAGAUUGGGAAGAACACCCGUGGCGAAAGCGCUCUGCUGGACUGCA